RNAcentral lists this unclassified non-coding RNA (811 nucleotides) under Stegodyphus dumicola. RNAcentral describes it as "uncharacterized LOC118205462, transcript variant X3". The record is from RNAcentral. Lineage: Eukaryota; Metazoa; Arthropoda; Arachnida; Araneae; Eresidae.
UUUUUUUAUUUUAUUGUUUUGCGCUUUUUUCUAAAUGCUUGAUUAAAAUCAUUUUCGUUCUUCAGUUUAAGAAAUUUAUUGUAUAAUAUUUUGAUUAUAUUAACCAAAUUGAGCAAAUAAAAUUACAGCAAAUGAUGCAUUUUUUAUGUUUCCAUAUAUGAAAGAGCAGAACUUAGAAAUUCAAUAGCAAUAUACACGACAUCAGCUGCAAUACAUUAAGCAGUGUCUACAGUAUGUAGUAUAUAUAGAGACAGUUAAAUGUAUAAUAUGUUUAUAGAGAUCUGUAAUUUCUUUCUUUUAAAAAUCAAAGUAUAAUGUUAAAUGUAUAAUAUGUUUAUAGAGAUCUGUAAUUUCUUUCUUUUAAAAAUCAAAGCUUAUCAGAUUGUGAUCUAAAUCAAAAUUUUCUUUCCAGUUGAACUAACUCCAGAUUUACGAUUAAACUGGUUAGAUGAUAUUCCCUAUUUCCACUUUGGGCGAAAAACCUAUGUUUGCCAUCAAGGAAAAGAUCUGAAUAAACGUCAAAAGGAAAAUUAUGCUAAAGAAAAAAAUGAAAAGUGUCAAACUGAUCAUGCUUUUGGUAAAGCAUAUUCCAAGAACCAGACAACUAAAAAAGUUAAUUGUCCAGCUGUAAUUAAUGUUACCCGAAUGUACAGGAUGCCUCAGUUCAAGAUGCCCUAGAGGAGUUGCAUGGUAUCUAAAAUUUCUGUGAAACACAGUUUGAAAACCUUCAGACUACUCGAAAACUUCAGAUUAUGUGAAAAAAGAAAUGUAGAUGUAAAGAGCAGUGAUUAAAAAGUUUUAAUGACCAAAA